ACUAAACCACUUCAGUGUUUAAUAUGAAAGUGGGUAGGGUUGAUCAAUUUCACAAUAUAUGGAUGGUUGCUUAUAUAAAUGAAGUUCAUUUAUAUCUCAGUUAAUGAGAUAAAGGAAAGAUGUUGAUUUUAUGUUGAAGAUCGCCGAAGAGUUGCUUAUAUAGUGAAGUUCAUUUAUAUUCCAAUAUUAACGAGAGAAGGGAAGAUGUUGAUUUUUAUGUUGAAGAUCAUGGAAGAGAGAAAUAAACCACUUCAUUGCUUGAUUUGAAAGUGGUUAUGGUUGAUAGUUUUCACAAUAUAUGGAUGAUUGCUUAUAUAAUGAAGUUCAUUUAUAUCCUAAUAUUAAUGAGAGAAGGGGAAGAUGCUGAUUUUUAUGUUGAAGAUUAUCGAAGAGAGAAAUAAACCACUUCAGUGCUUGAUAUGAAGGUGGAUAUGGUUGAUCGUUUUCACAACAUAUGGAUGGUUGUUUAUAUAAAUGAUUUCAUGUAUAUCCCAAAGUUAAUGAGAUAUGGGAAAGAUGCUGAUUUUUAUGUUGAAGAUGGCUAAAGAGUGUUGCCUAUAUGAGAGUGAUUUCUCAUAAUGAAGAGUGAAGAUGAAAGUGUUAAUCUCUUACACUUGGGAAGCAACAGACAGUCUCAUAUUUCAAAGCCUUAAAACGCAUUACUGAAACAUGGAAAGUAAAAAAGGGAAUGUACGAAUUAAGAGGAUGGUUGAUUGAUAAAGGAAUGGUGGAUUCAAAAUUCUCUAUCAUUGCUAUCAUGGGUGAUUGUUGAAGCUUUAGUUCAAACCCAAACAUGAAAUAAUAGCACUCAUGGCUUCUAAAUCUUCCUCAAGUGUAUUUGUUUUCUAAACAUUAAUAGAUGACUUCAUGUCUUUACAGUUACAAUUCUAGUUUACCAGUUUUUUUUUCCAUACUUAUUGUGGAUUAAUGUAUCUUUUGGAGUGGUACUUCAAUGAUGGUUAUUUUUUGUGUCC
Vitis riparia (riverbank grape) is the source of this 974-nucleotide long non-coding RNA. RefSeq lists it as uncharacterized. The transcript is spliced from 8 exons. The record is from RefSeq and is a predicted model, not a curated record. Lineage: Eukaryota; Viridiplantae; Streptophyta; Magnoliopsida; Vitales; Vitaceae.